AUUGAACGCUGGCGGCAGGCUUAACACAUGCAAGUCGAGCGGGGUGAUGGUGCUUGCACUAUCACUUAGCGGCGGACGGGUGAGUAAUGCUUAGGAAUCUGCCUAUUAGUGGGGGACAACAUCUCGAAAGGGAUGCUAAUACCGCAUACGUCCUACGGGAGAAAGCAGGGGAUCACUUGUGACCUUGCGCUAAUAGAUGAGCCUAAGUCGGAGUAGCUAGUUGGUGGGGUAAAGGCCUACCAAGGCGACGAUCUGUAGCGGGUCUGAGAGGAUGAGCCGCCACACUGGGACUGAGACACGGCCCAGACUCCUACGGGAGGCAGCAGUGGGGAAUAUGGGACAAUGGGGGGAACCCUGAUCCAGCCAUGCCGCGUGUGUGAAGAAGGCCUUAUGGUUGUAAAGCACUUUAAGCGAGGAGGAGGCUCUUUUGGUUAAUACCCAAGAUGAGUGGACGUUACUCGCAGAAUAAGCACCGGCUAGCUCUGUGCCAGCCGCCGCAGUAA
Molecule: ribosomal RNA, 503 nt
Filed under: uncultured bacterium
Lineage: Bacteria
Description: partial 16S ribosomal RNA
Rfam family: Bacterial small subunit ribosomal RNA
Source: RNAcentral